GCAGUGGUGGUUCAGUGAUAAAACCCUUGCCUUCCAUGCAGGAGAUCAGGGUUUGAUUCCCAGACAAUGCA
RNAcentral lists this transfer RNA (71 nucleotides) under Loxodonta africana (African savanna elephant). It matches the Rfam family "tRNA". Rfam says of the family: Transfer RNA (tRNA) molecules are approximately 80 nucleotides in length. Their secondary structure includes four short double-helical elements and three loops (D, anti-codon, and T loops). Lineage: Eukaryota; Metazoa; Chordata; Mammalia; Proboscidea; Elephantidae. The record is from Rfam by way of RNAcentral.